UACGUAGGGGGCAAGCGUUGUCCGGAUUUAUUGGGCGUAAAGAGCGUGUAGGCGGUCAGGUAGGUCCGUUGUGAAAACUCGAGGCUCAACCUCGAGACGCCGAUGGAAACCAUCUGACUAGAGUCCGGAAGAGGAGAGUGGAAUUCCUGGUGUAGCGGUGAAAUGCGCAGAUAUCAGGAAGAACACCCGUGGCUAAGGCGACUCUCUAGUACGGUACUGACGCUGAGACGCGAAAGCGUGGGGAGCGAACAGG
Molecule: ribosomal RNA, 253 nt
Filed under: uncultured bacterium
Lineage: Bacteria
Description: partial 16S ribosomal RNA
Rfam family: Bacterial small subunit ribosomal RNA
Source: RNAcentral